Acanthosepion pharaonis is the source of this 113-nucleotide non-coding RNA. NCBI's taxonomy places the organism in Eukaryota, Metazoa, Mollusca, Cephalopoda, Sepiida, Sepiidae. The record is from the annotation of a GenBank genome assembly.
UAGGGCCAUAUCACGUUGAAACACUGGUUCUCGCAAGAACCCCGAAGUUAAGCAACGUUAAGCCUGGUCAGCAACUACACGAGUGACCACUUGGGAAUACCAGGUGCGGCAAG